GGGGUUGUGGCUCAGUGGUAGAGUGCUCAGCCUAGCAUGCAGGAGGCACUGGGUUCGAUCCUCAUUACCACG
Molecule: transfer RNA, 72 nt
Filed under: Marmota monax (woodchuck)
Lineage: Eukaryota; Metazoa; Chordata; Mammalia; Rodentia; Sciuridae
Description: tRNA.Ala
Source: RNAcentral